AAAUUUAAUUGUUAUUAUUGUUGAAUGUUUAUUUAUUUUUAUUAAAAUUAAUUUUUUUUUAUUAUUUAUUUUGAAAAAAUUGUUUUUAUAAUAGUUGAUUUAUUUGUAAAAUGAUUAAUUUACUUUUUUAUAAGAAAAAUUAAUUUUUUGUACCUUGGGUAUCAGGGUUUAAUAAAUUAAUUAAUUGAAAAUUUUUAUCCCGAAUUUAGAAGAGUUAUAAUUAUUUUGUUAUUUAUUGUUGAAUAAAUAUAUUUAAUUUAAUUAUUGUAAUGAAAUGUUAUUCGUUUUUAAAUUUAUCUGGUUUUCUAAGAAAUAAAUUUAAUUUAUUUAUUUUUAAUAAUUUUUUUUAUUAUAAAUUUUUAUUAAAAAUAUUAAAUUUUUUAGGGGAAUAGCUUUAAAAAAUAUUAAUUAUUAAUUGUUUAUUUAUGUUUUUUAUUUAUGAAUAAAAUUUACUUUUUUUUUGUAUUUUAUAAUUAAGAGAAUUAAAAGUAUAUUAUUUAAAUGUUUUAUAAUUUUUAUAUUAGAAUGUAAAUUUUAAUUUUUUAUAUUAAGUAAUAAUGUUAUAAUUAGUAAAUUUUAUUGUAAUUUUUAUAAUUUUUUUAUAGGUUAGUAUAAGGAAUUCGGCAAAAUUUUACUCACCUGUUUAAUAAAAACAUGUCCUAUUUGUUUAUAAAUUUUAGGUCUGGCCUGCCCAAUGAUAUGGAUUGAAUGGUCGCAGUAAUUUGACUGUGCUAAGGUAGCAUAAUCAUUAGUUUCUUAAUUGGAAACUGGAAUGAAAGGUUGGAUGAGGUAAUAACUGUCUCUUAUUAAAAUAUUGAAUUUUACUUUUAAGUUAAAAGGCUUAAAUUUAGUUAAAAGACGAGAAGACCCUUUAGAUUUUUAUAUAAAAUAUAAAUUAAUUUUUUAGAAUAUAUUUUAAUUUUAUAUUUUAUAUUUGAUUGGGGUGAUUAUUAAAUUUAUUAAACUUUAAUUUUUAAUGCCAUUGAUUUAUGAUUAUUUGAUCCAGAUUUUUUGAUUUAUAGAUAAAAUUACCUAAGGGAUAACAGCGUAAUUUUUUUAGAGAGUUCUUAUCGAUAAGAAAGAUUGCGACCUCGAUGUUGGAUUAAAGUGUGAAAUUGGUGUAGAAGCUAAUUUAUUUGGUCUGUUCGACCAUUAAAACUUUACAUGAUCUGAGUUUAGACCGGCGUGAGCCAGGUUGGUUUCUAUCUUUAAUUAAUUAAAAUGUUUUAGUACGAAAGGACCAAAUUUUUUUUAAAUUAAAACUUAUUUGAAUAUUAAU
This 1279-nucleotide ribosomal RNA is filed under the name Basilepta fulvipes. Its description in RNAcentral is "16S ribosomal RNA". The stretch from base 1039 to 1197 matches the Rfam family "Archaeal large subunit ribosomal RNA", at positions 2542 to 2701 of the family's 2987-position model. The record is from RNAcentral. Lineage: Eukaryota; Metazoa; Arthropoda; Insecta; Coleoptera; Chrysomelidae.